Molecule: long non-coding RNA, 343 nt
Organism: Melozone crissalis (California towhee)
Lineage: Eukaryota; Metazoa; Chordata; Aves; Passeriformes; Passerellidae
Exons: 3
Source: RefSeq, a predicted model, not a curated record
CAUCCCCCUGCUCCGUGUCCGCAUCCCCGGGGGAUCCCCGCCGAACGACCGGGGCUGGGGCCGCUGCUCCCGCUGCGGUUGUGCCCGCCAGGGGCUGCUCUGAACAGGCACACGGAGAUGCCUCAGCCCGGACAGACACCACCGACAGCCCAGAAGGACCCCAAGGAGCAGCUGGCAUUGCCUGGAAUGGAGGCACGGGCCGUUUGCAGAGGGGCUCAGGCACCAGUUCCCGUUUCUGACCUCCCAGAGCUCCCACACAGCUCCCAGAUAUUGAAUUCCAAGCAGUAUACCUGGGAGAUGCCUCAAAAUCAGAGGUUCAAGUGGGAUGAAGUUUGGAACUUCC